Molecule: non-coding RNA, 620 nt
Organism: Dermacentor albipictus
Lineage: Eukaryota; Metazoa; Arthropoda; Arachnida; Ixodida; Ixodidae
Source: RefSeq, a predicted model, not a curated record
GCCGGCGGGAGUGGAUAGCGCGCUGUCGACCUGUCGUUGUUGUCGUUCUGAGACGGCCAUUAUAUUUGACUUGUUUGGAUACCAUCCGAUCACCAUUGUGUGCUGCCACCACUUGUAGCCUGCAGUAGUUAUUACCGCUUCUACUGGGAACUUGCGCCAUCCGCUGCACCCUCAUGCCUUUGUGCAGCAGAGACCUUUUCGGUGUGUUGCGCGGUCGCUGCAACGAGCCGGGUUGUGAGUGCAAGCGAUACACCAUUCUGCGCCUGUCGGAAAGUGACAACCUGGUGAGGUGUGACUAUUGUGACCACGUGCCAAAUGCACACGGAAAAAUAUGUGAUCUCGAAACGAAAAAUGCAGCUGAGGCAAAGGUGCAAUGCAAUGUGCCAGGCACCGUGUUCGAGGCCUCAGUGUCACAUGAAACCGUGGAAGCUUGCACAUCUAGUCUCUCCUCAGUGCAAUAUGAGAGGACUGUCCCAGUAGGUGCCUCCAUAGGAAAUGAAUCGGCCUGAAUGCCUGUACAAGAAUCACAGCCUGGCUGCUCUAAAGACUCCGCACCGUGGUCCCAUGUGGAAGAGCCCCCACUUGACAGCCCAGUGGUUGCCAUGGACAAAGAGAUCCGC